GUGCUUAUGUGUUUCAUAAGUGAGAUAAUUGAGUUUUCUAGCUCAUAUAUGAGAAGUGCCUCCCUCAAACCUUAGGACUUCAGGACAUUGCCUUAUAUGAAA
Callithrix jacchus (white-tufted-ear marmoset) is the source of this 102-nucleotide small nucleolar RNA. NCBI's taxonomy places the organism in Eukaryota, Metazoa, Chordata, Mammalia, Primates, Cebidae. The record is from Ensembl.